UACGUAGGGAGCAAGCGUUGUUCGGAUUUACUGGGCGUAAAGGGCGCGUAGGCGGCGCGGUAAGUCACUUGUGAAAUCUCUGAGCUUAACUCAGAACGGCCAAGUGAUACUGCAGUGCUAGAGUGCAGAAGGGGCAAUCGGAAUUCUUGGUGUAGCGGUGAAAUGCGUAGAUAUCGGGAGGAACACCCGUAGCGAAGGCGGCACUCUGGGCCGGUACUGACGCUGAGGAGCGAAAGCGUGGGGAGCAAACAGG
This 253-nucleotide ribosomal RNA is filed under the name uncultured bacterium. RNAcentral describes it as "partial 16S ribosomal RNA". It matches the Rfam family "Bacterial small subunit ribosomal RNA", at positions 524 to 776 of the family's 1533-position model. The record is from RNAcentral.